This 332-nucleotide ribosomal RNA is filed under the name uncultured eukaryote. RNAcentral describes it as "partial 18S ribosomal RNA". It matches the Rfam family "Eukaryotic small subunit ribosomal RNA", at positions 1470 to 1796 of the family's 1831-position model. The record is from RNAcentral.
CCCUUAGAUGUUCUGGGCUGCACGCGCGCUACACUGUCGGAUUCAGCGAGUCAUAUCCUUAACCGAAAGGUUUGGGUAAUCUUUUGAAAGUCCGACGUGAUGGGGAUUGAUCAUUGCAAUUAUUGAUCAUGAACGAGGAAUUCCUAGUAAGCGCGAGUCAUCAGCUCGCGUUGAUUACGUCCCUGCCCUUUGUACACACCGCCCGUCGCUACUACCGAUUGAAUGGUUUAGUGAGAUCUUCGGAUUGGCGCCUACGCGGCUUCUCUGAGGCCGCGCUGGAUGCCGAAAAGUUGCUCAAACUGUAUCAUUUAGAGGAAGUAAAAGUCGUAACA